CGUCUAUAUACGUAUAGCAUAUCAAUAAGCGGAGGAAAAGAAACUAACAAGGAUUCCCUUAGUAACGGCGAGUGAAGCGGGAAGAGGCUCAAAUUUGAAAUCUUCAAGGUUCUACCUUGACGAAUUGUAGUUUAAAGAAGUGUUUUCUGUUAGAGGAGUAGCAAAAGUUCCUUGGAAUGGGACAUCAUAGAGGGUGAGAAUCCCGUAUUUGGUUAUUCUUUCUAGCUUUGUGAUACACUUUCAAAGAGUCGGAUUGUUUGGGAACGCAGUCCAAAAUGGGUGGUAAAUUUCAUCUAAAGCUAAAUAUUGGCGAGAGACCGAUAGCGAACAAGUACCGUGAGGGAAAGAUGAAAAGAACUUUGAAAAGAGAGUUAAACAGUACGUGAAAUUGUCAAAAGGGAAGCGUUUGACACCAGUGUUGUUUUUCCGAAAAUCAAUUAAGAGUGGCUUGAUUUUGUGUUGUAUUGACCUUAUCAGCUUUCUUCACUCUUUUUCGAGUCUUUCUUAAUGCACUUUUCGGUUAACAAGUCAACAUCAAUUUCUUUUGUUGUAGAAGGGUAUUUGGAAGGUGGCUUUCCUUUCGGAGAAAGUGUUUAUAGCCUUAUACCUCUACAAUCGGAGAGAUUGAGGUCUGCAGCGUAGAUCCUUCGGGGCUAGAUACACUUGUGCUAAGUUAUAGCUUUUCAUAGACAACUUGUUGACUAUGUUUAGUCAUGUAGCUUACCCGCUUGUGCUAUUUUACCUACGCUUAGGAUGUUGAGUCAUCACACAUCUCU
This 776-nucleotide ribosomal RNA is filed under the name uncultured Neocallimastigales. RNAcentral's name for it is "partial large subunit ribosomal RNA". It matches the Rfam family "Eukaryotic large subunit ribosomal RNA", at positions 26 to 614 of the family's 3401-position model. Lineage: Eukaryota; Fungi; Neocallimastigomycota; Neocallimastigomycetes; Neocallimastigales. The record is from RNAcentral.